RNAcentral lists this long non-coding RNA (745 nucleotides) under Gallus gallus (chicken). The record is from RNAcentral. Lineage: Eukaryota; Metazoa; Chordata; Aves; Galliformes; Phasianidae.
CGGAGGGGAGCUCACCUCUUCGUCCGGGAUGUAGGAAACCUUGAAGGAAUAGCUCUCAAGCUGAUGGCCGCUGAGCUUCUCAAUUGCUACUUUUGCUUCUUCUUUUGUUGCAUAUGUGACGUUGACAACUGCAGUUUCUGUGUCUGUGUUAACUUGCUCUACAUUCUCCACUGUUCCGUACUGAGCCAAGAGGCCAUCCAGCACCUCCCACUGCAGGUGCGGGGGGAUGUUUCGGAUCUGGAUCUUUCUGCUCCUGAGCUUUUUGGGCACGGAGUAAUCCACCUCCAGCACUUUGCCGUGCAGCUCCGCUUUACCCGAGAGGGUCUCGAUGGCGCGGAUGGCCCAGUUCUGGUCCGGGUAAUCCACGAAGGCGUAGCCGGACUUGAGCAGGACCUGGCCGGCCAGGGGCAGCUUCCUGUCGCCGAAGAGCUGCCGGAGGUCGUCGGCGGUGGCGGCGGGGCUGAGGUUGCCGAUGUAGAGCUUGUUCAUCCUCCGGCGCUUCAUGGGGAGCCCCGCGGCUCCUCCCGCCCCGGCGGCCGGAGAUGAGCGUCGGGCACGGCACGGCGCUGCGCCACCCGCCCGGCCGAGCCCGCGGCAGCCCUGCAACAGCGCCCCGCCGCCGGGCAGCGGGCGGAGCCGCGCCGAGCCGAGCCGAGCCCGGCCCGAGCCGCCUCCCCAGCAGCGCGGCGAACCCCGGCGCUGCCCCGCUGCCCCCCGCCCCACUGCCGCACGUGGAGCCGCGGCC